Pantherophis guttatus is the source of this 6047-nucleotide non-coding RNA. NCBI's taxonomy places the organism in Eukaryota, Metazoa, Chordata, Lepidosauria, Squamata, Colubridae. The record is from RefSeq and is a predicted model, not a curated record.
UGCGCCAGCCUCCGCCUCGUGCCUGCGCGCUCGGCUCCGCACUGAAGGGUCGGGCGCCUCCCUUAUCCAGGCCUCCAAGUGAGGAGUCAUGGGGCCUAACCUGGCAGCAGAUUUGCUUAUUCAAAGCAUCACUAAUUCCUUGAACUAUGUACUGAAGAUGGAUUCCUUUAAAAUGCCAAUGGCAACUAUUCAUAGGACUAUAUAUUUUGUUGCUUGCAACACUGAUUUCUAGAAGUCUCUCACUCUCAUUCUCACACACUUAUACACAGACACACCUCACAUAAAGUUGUUGAGAUUGAUAUCCUAACAAGCCAUCUGUCUGAGGGAACAGAAGUAAGUGUCAUAAACCAAAGGAAGCAAAAGGACCCAAAUGUUAAGUGAUAAGGCUGAGCAACAAACAAACAAGCAAGCCAUCUCCAAGGCAGCACCAUUUGUCCCAUAAGCCAAAGACAGAUGACUCUGUGGAAAAAUGUAGAUUGACAAAUUGACCAUUUCUGAAAUACAGCAAUACAUUAUAGCAGCCCUUCAGAAGUCUAUGUGACAAGUCACUCGGAACAAGCAACAAAACAGAACAAUUACAGAAACUACCAAAAGGCACUCACUGGUCCAGAUCAUUGUCUCAGCUGAACUAGUAAUCUGGAUCUUCGGACUAUCAAAUAUCAAGAGCGCUCUUGCACCCAGUGGCAUCUACAAGUAUGAGUAUGUUGUGGUCAACUUCACUCCAUUUCUUUAUGUCUGGAAGUGCUGGCAAUGCUUUGAUCAUGGUGGUAUGCCUCAUUAUACUUUGCAGAUUUUUUUGUACCCCCACAAACACUCAUGCUUUCAUCUGCAGAUUUCCCUAUUGGUCAAGAAACACGACAUUUGUAUAGCCUUAUGACUGAGUUCUUCAACCUGGAUGUCAAGCCCCACACAUCAGGCAAACUUAAGCAAGAAACACACAGAUUUCAGAAAGGCAUCUUAAAUGUGAAAACAUGUGAAAAUUGUAAAUGUAGUUUCCCAGGCAUACUUAAAACAAGCCAAUUAAGGAAGAAAAUUCCUUCCCACAGGCCCCCUGAGCUGAACUGCUUCUAUUUACAACCAUUGAACUCCUCCAACUGGUUCCCACUCUCACACUGCAUUCCUCUGGAAGCAGUCCUGAAGGAGACUUUGGCAAUAGUGACCUACACACUUUGAUCAGAUUGCUAAAUAAUGAUGGUGUGCCAUCAAAUUGCUAUUGACUCUCAGCAAUUAUAUUGACAGAUCUUCUUCAGAAUGGUAUGUGCCCAGCCUGGUCCUUCAGCUCUUCCAACACUGUUGUAAUUGAGUCCUCACACUUUGUUGCUGGCCAUUCUUGAUCCAAAAUGUAACAUUCCCCUUCUUGGUGGGUAAGAACUACUAUUUACAUUUUAAAGGCUCUAUAUUGACUAGCAGUAAACUUUCAGGUACAAAUUAAAGCUCUGUGUAGCUUGGUCCUCUUGUACCUGCAGAAUCAUCAAUUUUUAAUAGAUCAUACUUGUACAGUGCACACAUCUCAGGUUGGGAUGGCAAAGAUUCUUCCUGUGUACAAGAUUGAUGGAAAGAGCAAGAACUUUUUUUUUUCAUCAACCCAUGCAACUGUUUCCCACUUUAAGUUCAUAUUGUUUCAUGUCUGUGGGCCUAUAAAAAGCCUUAAAAAGUGAACUGUUCAAAAUAGCCAUUCUUUAAGCUUUGUCAUCAAUACCCUUGUUACUUCUGUUAUAUUAGUUUAUAUUGAGGUUAUGAAACCCUUUGACAGUUUUAAGGAUUAUAUAUUAUAUAUUUUCUGUGUCAUUUUGUUUUUCUGCUAUGAUGUUAUGUUAUAUACUACUAUAGUAGUAUGUGGAGUGUAAAGGUGUAUAAAUAAAUAAAUAAAACCUCCCAGAACUCCAAUAAUUUUCCAUGCUAAUUGAAGUUCUGAGGAUUGCAAUAGAGUGCACUUGAAGGGCUCCAGAAUGGAGAAAGCUUAUUUUUAAAAAUCUGCUAGAAUUAAUCACAGAUCAGCAAGCACUCAAGUGCUCUAAAAAAAAUCAUGUUGAAAUUUAUAAUUUGCUUUAUUUAAAAAUCACUGUAAAAACAUAGUUCACCAUCACACAGAGAGAAAAUGUGAAAUAAUUCAGGGAAAAGACUUGUUUUAAAGGAAAAAUUAUAUGUAAUAUUGUUUAGCAAUAUCAAUAGAAACCAGCAGCAGGUAUUUGGAGUUUAACCAUGGGAAAAAGGCUGUUUAAAGCAAUAUUAUAAUGUUUCAACUAAUCAUUGGCUCACCCUGAUUAUACAAAACAUUUAUGUAUUUAUUUAAAUGUACUGGCUCCCAAACUUCAAUGGACUCAGACAGAGCCCAAAACUAAACAUGACAUUAAAAAACACCUAAAAAUAUAAAAUCAACAGACAGCCCAGACUAAUAAUGAAAUCUGCAAAACAAAACGGGCAAUUAAACAAAUAACAAACAUAAACCUCAGGCCUGGGAUCAAAGCCAGGUUUUCAAAGCUCUGCUAGUUUCCCUAAGAGAGAGAGAGUGCCGUCUUUAUCUCUGGGGUGUGCUGUUCAGAGAGUGGGAGCCACAAAAGAGAUGGCACAUUGCCUACAUCCUACAAGAUGGCAACUUUUAUUGGAUUGAACGUCAAGUAUAUCCACUGUUGGAAUCUAUUGGGCUAUCAGAAGAAUUUGUAAGUAGAAUAUGGUGUGCUUGAAAUAUACCAAUCAAGUACCAUUUAAUACAUUUUGUGUGUGUGUGUGUGUGUUUGUGUCUGUAUGUGCAUAUAUAUUUAUAAAUAAUAUAUUCUAAAUAAUGGAUAUGUAGAACAGGGUGUUUAUAUGCAUAUACCUUCAUAUCAUUAACAGGACUUAGCUAUUCCUUGCUGUGAAAAAACCUAGAGCAUACUUGAUGAGUAUAAUACUUUCUACUUCUUCCAGCAGAAAGUGUUUUGUAAUAUUUUAGCAUAAAAGCAUACCUAGUAACUUCAUGGUUUAAACUAUGGCAUGCAGUGUUUAUUCAGAAUCCUCCCAGUUCUUCCUCCUUUGAAAAGUUGUUUUGCUUAAAAUUACUUUCUAAAAAUCAUCUCUGCUUCAGUAAUGCAAACAAAUAAUGCAAUGUGAAGCUUUUUAAAAUUCUGCCAAAGAAUAAUGUGAAUUAAAGGCAUCAAGGGAAACCAGUAGAAACAAGCAUAAAUAAAACAAAAAAAUUUCCAUUGUCCAUUUUAGGGCCCUCGUAGAUAUUUAGAAGAAGGACUUCAAUUUGAAGUUGCAUCUUUAAGAAAUGUCACAUCCAAAUCUAUUGGACCAAUUUGAAUGACUCAUGACCUCUCUCUGAUAUUUUUGAAUAGCAAACUAACAAAGUAAAGAUGGGCUAAAUAGGACAUUAUAUAUAUCUGGUGCAGAAAAAUAUGGGUUCACCAAUUCUAUUUCAUGAUACCAUUGCAAACCGGUAGUAAAGGUAGGUAGAACCCACCCCUGGAUAGGGCCCAAUGUUCAAGUCUGUCAAAAUCCUUCUGAAUCUUGAGUCUCUCUUCUAUUUCCUCCAGUUAAUUAUGGAGCAUAACUUCAGCAAGUAUAUUGUUUUUGCAUAUGCUGUAUUAAGAAGGUUAGGUUCAGGGAACUAUGCCAAGUAAUGAUGAUUGAAAGACGCUACAUCUCUAGAUCUUUUCCUCACCCUAUCUUCACAUUCUUGCCACAAUUCCAUAGGUAGAAUCAGUUGAAAGACAAUCUUAAUGAAAUCCUAUAAAGAGUAAUAUAAUACUUGACUGCACAGAUUGCAUAUUCCAGACUUCUCCACACUACCCAUUGGGCCAGAGAUCCCUUCUCUCUGUCCUUUCACUCCUGUUGUAUCACAGUACUAGGUUUAUGACUUAUGACUAUUUUUCACACUUAUGACCGUUGCAGCAUUCCCAUAGUCAAGUGAUCAAAAUUUGGACACUUAGCAACUGGUUCAUAUUUAUGACAGUUGCAGUGUUCCAGAGUCAUCUUUUGUGACCUUCUGAUGAGGAAGGUCAAUGAGAAACCCAGAUUCACUUAACAACCAUGUUACUAAGUUAACAUCUGUAGUGAUUCACUUAACUGUAGCAAAAAAAAGGUCAUAAAAUAGAGCAAAACUCGCUUCUUGCUUAGUAAUGGAAAUUUUGGGCUUAGUCUAUCUAUGUAUUUACUUUAAUUUUCUACAAGUCAUUGAAGAAAAUGAGUCCAGAGAAUAGUUUUAUAACCCUAGCAUUUGGAAUGUUACUGCAAUGACAGCUUACAAAGCUAAGUAUGUCUAAGGAUCUUAAUAUGGCCCUGAUUGUAUUCAACUACUCUAAAUGGCUCAUAUUACAAGGCAAAUAAAAUUAUAGGUUGUGAUGAAUUUUCUUCCUUUAAAAAAAAAAGACCCAGAUUAGUCAGGCUAAAAAUCUACAGAAAUAUACAUAUCACAUUCUUUUUCUCUAUUAUAGGGCUAUGCAGCAUUCUCUGGGCCUGGAGCUACACUGGAAGCAUGCCACAUGUUGCAUUUCAAAAUAUAGUAGUUGAAGUAGGAUAAACAGCAUUUAUUUCACUGCUAUUUCCAUUGAGUUAAAUAGAUUAGAUUUCUUUCCAGUCUUGAAUUUAGUAUUUUUCCUUCCAUCUCUUUAAAAAUGCCAAUUUAAAAAUAACUUCUGAAAGUUUCUGAAGGCCACAGUUGAAACUUUUUGGGGCCCAGCCUGAAGUUUUCAAGCGCUUUAGGUUAAAACUUAGCUUUACGUGAAGGACAUGUUAACAUGACAUCUCGGGGGGGGGGGGAAUCUGAUUUUUCCUCCUACAGAUGCUGUGAAGCAUCUCUGAGUCACCUUUUUUAAAGUGACUUUGUAAAGUUUAUAUGAUUUUUUUUCAAAAGUUAAGAUUCCUUUUUAUUUACAGGCAGUCUUCAAGUUACAACAGCAAUGGGUACCAAAAUUUCUGUCACUAAGCAACGCAAUCAUAAAGUGUGAUAAAGUCACAAUUUCUGAUUACUUCAGUGUAAUGUAAAGGUUAAGGUGAUGGAUUGGGACUUGCGAAGUUCAGGUUCAGAUUUCUAUGCAAUUUCAGCCCUUCAUAAUCUAACCUACUCGCAGAGUUGUUCUUCAUACAAUAAAGAAUUGCACCAAAUGCCAUCUUGAAUGCCCAGAACAGAACUGCACACAUGCCUUCAGCUCAAGAAUUGAGAGCCAAACUCCCAAAUUGGAUGGGAACAGGACACUGUGGCCCUGAUUUCUGAGAUGCUACUUUGAAUUGCCUGUCAAGGAUUAGCUCAUUUUACCCUUGAAAGUCUUCUAAGAUGGUCCCAUAAAACCACCCAAAAAGAUGGUUUCAUCCCCUGAGAGAUCCUCCUUGCUACAAAAGAAUUACCGUAUAUACUCGUGUAUAAGCCGAGUUUUUCAGCACAUUUUUUAUGUUGAAAAAGCACCCCUUGGCUUAUACUCAAGUGCGGGUGUUCUCCGGUCUCUCCCGCUCAUCUGCGGGCGCCUGCAGCCUGGUCCGAUAACUGCUGAUAUCGCCGGUCUUCUUUUCUUCUGCACGCCAGCAGCCUCUGUGUUGUUCAUCUUACCUGUGUUUGGUCACGCCUCUUUGCUCCAUCCAAGCAUUGCUGAAUACAAGUACUGGUAUAUCUCUGGUCUUGGAUAUACAGUACGUUUAUUUACAGUACUUAGUCUGCUAUAUUUUAUUUUUGAAAUUUACCAGUAGCUGUUGCAUUUCCCGCCCUAGGCUUAUACUCGAGUCAAUAAGUUUUCCAAGUUUUUUGUGAUAAAAUUAGGUGCUUCGGCUUAUAUUCGGGUCUGCUUAUACUCGAGUGUAUACAGUAACAUGAUAUUGCACUAUUUGUACCUCUGUCCUACAGAAAAGACUGGGUAUAAAUACAGUAACAAUAAAUAUAUUGUUCGUAAAGAUAUUCAAUGGAGUUGAUUAUGUCUUUUGCCUAAUUAGACCAUAUGUACUGUAUCAGACUAUACAUACUGUAUGCAUAUGUGUGUUUGCUUGAAAAUCAAAGGAAACCUUGCAGAAGAAUACCUUUCAGCUUGGAUCUCAAUCUAGUUCUAAACCUAUCCAAUAAACUGUUCUUGUCUGACUGA